UGGGGAAUUUUGGACAAUGGGCGAAAGCCUGAUCCAGCAAUGCCGCGUGUGUGAAGAAGGCCUUCGGGUUGUAAAGCACUUUUGUCCGGAAAGAAAUCCUUGGCUCUAAUACAGUCGGGGGAUGACGGUACCGGAAGAAUAAGCACCGGCUAACUACGUGCCAGCAGCCGCGGUAAUACGUAGGGUGCAAGCAUUAAUCGGAGUUACUGGGCGUAAAGCGUGCGCAGGCGGUUUGCUAAGACCGAUGUGAAAUCCCCGGGCUCAACCUGGGAACUGCAUUGGUGACUGGCAGGCUAGAGUAUGGCAGAGGGGGGUAGAAUUCCACGUGUAGCAGUGAAAUGCGUAGAGAUGUGGAGGAAUACCGAUGGCGAAGGCAGCCCCCUGGGCCAAUACUGACGCUCAUGCACGAAAGCGUGGGGAGCAAACAGGAUUAGAUACCCUGGUAGUCCACGCCCUAAACGAUGUCAACUAGUUGUUGGGGAUUCAUUUCCUUAGUAACGUAGCUAACGCGUGAAGUUGACCGCCUGGGGAGUACGGUCGCAAGAUUAAAACUUCAAAUGAAUUGACGGGGUCAUAGCUGUUUCCU
RNAcentral lists this ribosomal RNA (586 nucleotides) under uncultured bacterium. RNAcentral describes it as "partial 16S ribosomal RNA". It matches the Rfam family "Bacterial small subunit ribosomal RNA", at positions 355 to 1375 of the family's 1533-position model. The record is from RNAcentral.